AUUUGAAUGUCUUAUUACCCUGGAAAUUAAAUGCUACUGAUACAAAAUUGAUAUAUUAUUGUGCUUUUGUGUGAGGACCUUAUUGAUCUUGUUAAUUAAUUAACUAUAUUUUGCAGGGGUUGAUGUUAACUAUGAAGAGAUAAUUGAAGCAACUUCAAUUGGCUUUAGUUCAGUGAUUUCCAAAUUUGUUCGAAUGUUGGAUUUGGAGAAGGGAAUGAUGGACUACCUAUAUGCAAAGUGCACUCCUUGUAUCAUAGAUUGUGUAAUGGCAGAGCUUGAGAAGUUGGGUCAGAAAUAUCGUGUGGCUCUGAGUUGCAAGUAAUAAUGAAAUCUGAAGAUAUGUGUUUGGAGUCCGCUAAGUUCUUCCCUGUGUUUGAUAAGGUCAAGAAGCUGCAAAAGGGACUGUCUAAGGAACCCUGUGAAUCACUGACGAAGCUUACAAGAGUAUCACUUCUAGUAGUGUAUAUCCCAUGGAUGUAUUUUUAACUUGUAAAUUUAUUGUAU
Molecule: long non-coding RNA, 504 nt
Organism: Rosa rugosa (rugosa rose)
Lineage: Eukaryota; Viridiplantae; Streptophyta; Magnoliopsida; Rosales; Rosaceae
Exons: 5
Source: RefSeq, a predicted model, not a curated record